CAGCAGCCACGGUAAUACGAAGGGGGCUAGCGUUGCUCGGAAUUACUGGGCGUAAAGGGAGCGUAGGCGGACUGUUUAGUCAGAGGUGAAAGCCCAGGGCUCAACCUUGGAAUUGCCUUUGAUACUAGCAGUCUUGAGUACGGAAGAGGUAUGUGGAACUCCGAGUGUAGAGGUGAAAUUCGUAGAUAUUCGGAAGAACACCAGUGGCGAAGGCGACAUACUGGUCCGUUACUGACGCUGAGGCUCGAAAGCGUGGGGAGCAAACAGGAUUAGAUACCCCCGUAGUCCCUGUCUCUUAUAC
RNAcentral lists this ribosomal RNA (301 nucleotides) under uncultured bacterium. RNAcentral's name for it is "partial 16S ribosomal RNA". It matches the Rfam family "Bacterial small subunit ribosomal RNA", at positions 509 to 807 of the family's 1533-position model. The record is from RNAcentral.